UUGAAGGAUAAUUUGUUUUGCUUCACAUUGCCUAAAUGUUCUGCAGUUUUAUCUACACCGUGAGUGAACCAACUUCCUUCUCCUUUUUCAAAGGUCAACUCUCAGACCUUUGAAAAAGGAGAGGGAAGAGAGAUGAAGAGGAGUGGCAAGUGUGAAUUCCUCCAUAAGGAACCCCCCUGAUAUGGUGUGAGAGAGUGGGAGCACAGCUGUUCCUGCCUCCAGAACUGGAAGAUGGAAGGCUUACUCUACUCGUUUAAGCAGAGCUUUUGGAAUCAGUGUUCCACCUUAGGGAGCCACAGCUGAAGUACAGUGGGACUCCCAGUGAAUAAUUCAGAGAUGUCAAAACAGAAACUCAGAGAUGUUAAGCUACUUGUUCCAGGUUGCAGAAUCGGUGCCUUUGGAUGAAGAAGUCAUGGGCGUCGGGACAGCCAGUGGACCAUUGACUGUUGAGUUGGAGGCUUUGGCUGGAUACAAUGAAC
This is a long non-coding RNA of Rhinopithecus roxellana (golden snub-nosed monkey), 479 nucleotides long. RefSeq lists it as uncharacterized. The record is from RefSeq and is a predicted model, not a curated record. Lineage: Eukaryota; Metazoa; Chordata; Mammalia; Primates; Cercopithecidae. The transcript is spliced from 3 exons.